GCCAGAGUGGCAUAGUGGUUUGUGCAUUGGAUUGCAACUCUGGAGACCAGGGUUUGAUUCUCUGCUCGGCCA
Molecule: non-coding RNA, 72 nt
Organism: Phrynosoma platyrhinos (Desert horned lizard)
Lineage: Eukaryota; Metazoa; Chordata; Lepidosauria; Squamata; Phrynosomatidae
Source: the annotation of a GenBank genome assembly